Molecule: long non-coding RNA, 1502 nt
Organism: Oxyura jamaicensis (ruddy duck)
Lineage: Eukaryota; Metazoa; Chordata; Aves; Anseriformes; Anatidae
Exons: 3
Source: RefSeq, a predicted model, not a curated record
AAAAUAAAAUCUUGAUGUUAAUACACAUCAGGAUUUACAUUGGACAGAUCAUGAAAUACAGUGUCACCUGGACAGAAGAUGUACAGACUGAGCUGUGUAAGAGGUUCAUGAAUUCAUUUUUUUUUCUCUAAAUAAAGGGCUCAAACAGCAUUUUGCUAGAUUUUGAACAGUCUAUGUCACCAAUUUUUCACCUCUUGAACAAAAUUUGUGGUACUCACUAGCUUCAAAAUUCAUAAAAGUGCCAACAUUGCUCCUAUGUGGAAUAUGCCUCCUCCCCCAUCCCAUCCAUCACUAUUUUUUUUUUUUUUUCGAUGGUUGUUUAUUUUUUUUUACUAAAAUCUGCUAGGCUUUCUCUUUGAAAACUGACCAUUUCAAUUUGAACAGAAGAGAGACACUGAACUGAGUGAUGCUGAGCUGGGAAAAUAAUGGUAUCUGGGAACUUUCCAUCAUAGCAUCGAGGAAAGUCUCCUCAGACCCCAGUCUUUCAGGGUAAGUAAAUUUUGUUGCAGUCAUGCUUAUUGAUUAGCGCAGUGGACGGGUGCUUGCAAGAACUGGGUGCUAUUCUUGGCUCCUGCCACAGACUUCCUAUGUGCUGAUGAACAAGUCUUUUAGACCAAAGCUUUUUCGUUGUGAGAAUUUCCUUGCAUUUUAAAUCUGUGGGGGAUUAAAUGGAAUGGACAUUUAGAUUCACUUCCCCACCUCCUUCAGUAAUAGAUGAAAUGGAGAGGAUAUGGGAGCGUGUUUAAAAGAUCAAAUCAAUGCACUUAUUUUGUAACCAGGAAAUAAAGGGAACAAGCUGUUUAAAAAUAAAAAAUAAAAAAAUACACAUCUGCUUUUUUUCCCCCCAACUCCCUCUGAGAUAAAUCAAAAUCAGUCUUUGAAAGAUUAAUUGUGGAGUCCAUAUCUCACAACUAUGUAGCUGAGGACUAAAAAAAAAACACAUAAUGUUGACUAAUAAAACUGUCUGGCUAUACAAACCUUUAAAAUCAAGAAAUUGCCUGUCCACAUGUUUUUUCUGCCACAUAUCUUAAUUAGCUCCACAAAUAACAGUGUCUGCUUUCACUUUCUCAUCUAUUAAUUAGCCUCAUACUACUGUGAAGUGAGCAGUGAGAAAAUAGCCAUUCUUUGUUCCUUGUGUUAUAAUACGGGACAUUACCUUCUUUCUGACCUGAGGACAAAGGAAUACUCUUAUGCCCUUUAUGAGAGCGUGGCUAUCUUACAAGCCCCCUGAAUUCAUUUGUGGAUUUGCUUUAGCUCUGGAGAAGAAAGUACUUAAUGUUCUGAAUACAUACAUAUAUACAUACAUGUGUAUAUAUAUAUAAACACAAAACUAUUAAAUUUAAAAUACUGAACUGUGAUCUGCUCCAGGGUGUUCUGCCAUGAUUAAACUAAUAUUGGGAAAAAAAAAAAAAAAAGAGAUUGGGAGACCAGAAGCUAAUUAAAAAAAUUAAAAUUUAAAAUAAGCUAAUUUAAAAAAUAAAAAUCUCAUGUUCUUAAUUAAG